UACGUAGGGUGCGAGCGUUGUCCGGAAUUAUUGGGCGUAAAGGGCUCGUAGGCGGUUUGUCGCGUCGGGAGUGAAAACCCAGGGCUUAACUCUGGGCUUGCUUUCGAUACGGGCAGACUAGAGGUAUGCAGGGGAGAACGGAAUUCCUGGUGUAGCGGUGAAAUGCGCAGAUAUCAGGAGGAACACCGGUGGUGAAGGCGCUUCUCUGGGCAUGACCUGACGCUGAGGAGCGAAAGUGUGGGGAGCGAACAGG
This 253-nucleotide ribosomal RNA is filed under the name uncultured bacterium. RNAcentral's name for it is "partial 16S ribosomal RNA". It matches the Rfam family "Bacterial small subunit ribosomal RNA", at positions 524 to 776 of the family's 1533-position model. The record is from RNAcentral.